RNAcentral lists this ribosomal RNA (466 nucleotides) under Sphaerospira sp. 'starena'. RNAcentral describes it as "partial 12S ribosomal RNA". The record is from RNAcentral. Lineage: Eukaryota; Metazoa; Mollusca; Gastropoda; Stylommatophora; Camaenidae.
GUCAUACUUUAGUAAUAAGAAAUUAACAGCAAUCUAACGCGCCAGCAGCAUUACGUGUGGUGAAAUAUUUCAAUAGAUACCACUAUCUGUGCGUUAAACUAGCGAAACAUUACUACUAAACAGGGAUUAGAGACCCCUUUAUACAAAUGCUCAUGGUAUUUUGCGGAGGACUACAACUAUCGGAGUUAAAACUUAAACAACAUGGCGGUAAUUUUAACUUAGGGGAACUUACUGAAUCAUUGAUAACCACCAAGGUUAAUCAACUUCACAAAAAUCUUGUAUGCCGUCGUCGUCAGGUAGCACUUGAGGUUCUACCUUAAUAGUAUAUCUUAAAAGACAGAUCAAGGUGCAGACGAUUGUGAAGCUCUGGCGAGUUACAGUUUCUACUAUUAACGGAUAUAUAUAAUGUAAACACAUUGAAGACGGACUUAACAGUAAUAAAUAUUAUCUUUACUUUAUAAGCUAU